AAGGUUUUCAGGGUGUCACAUUUCUCCCACCUUAAAAAAUUUGGUCCUCCAAAUUUAUCAUGAAUAGGUCUGGAAACCUUUCUCUCAUCUCGCUCUCUAAUUCCCACGUUGCCUCUUCUGGAGUGUAGUGUUGCCACUAUACCUUCACCAUGGGAAUCCUCUUGUUGCGCAAAACCUUGUUGGUCUAACCAAGUUUGUCCGCGGGAAGUUUCUCU
This 215-nucleotide long non-coding RNA is filed under the name Carica papaya (papaya). Its description in RNAcentral is "long non-coding RNA (CPAP_LNC008190)". Lineage: Eukaryota; Viridiplantae; Streptophyta; Magnoliopsida; Brassicales; Caricaceae. The record is from RNAcentral.